UUUUUAUCGUCAUUCAUUAUAAAAUUGUAGACAUUUGUUUAUUUUGAUACAUUUUUGUGUUUGGGAUUGGUAUUGGUUUGGGUUCUGAGAUUUUCAGUGAUAUGAUAUGGUUUUCCAGUGAAGUUGUAAUUGCACCUUUAUUGUGUGUUUAUUGGUUUAGGUCUUUCCUAUAUAUAUAUGUGAUUAUGUGAGUAUUUAGGCUAUAGAAAGAGGGUUAUGGAUACUGAUGUGAUGGAUUUGUUUACAAAUAAAACAGUCAAGAAUUACAGAGUACAUUGAAAAAUUUUGGAGAAGGGUUUUGGGUGAAGAUAAAGAGUGAAAGAGAUCUAGAGAUAGGGAGUGAAAUGGGGUCCAUUGUUUGUAUAAGUGAUUUGUUUGGUGGUUAUUCUGUGAUUUGUGUAAUGAGUAAUUGUAGUAUUGCAGACAUUACUAGUAAAAUAUGAAGACAUUACACUAAAAUAACUUCAACGAGAGCUUUGUUACCUUUUAAUAUUAUUUCUUUUUUAUGCUUAUUGAGUUUUUAAAUGAUUGAAGUUGUAAUAUGCUAGAGUUGCUCAUGCCUAAUCAAUUUGAAAGUCUUGGAGCCAAGCAUCAGUAAUUUGCAUAUAAAUGUUGCCAAGAGAAAAGAAUGUACUUUACUUUUGAGUGAAAUGAAAAGAACAGUCUUUUGAUAACAUGAUAACAUGAUCUGUCUUAGUUGCCUACUUUGUGAAAGAGCUAUGGUGUAAGCAUUUUAAUUAUUGAGAAAUUUUUUAGCACAAUACGAUGUGAGCCAUAUUAUGAAACUCUAAUUUCUGUGUGCAGAUUUAUGAUUUACUAAAAGAGAAUCACGUGGUUUGUCUUGUAUGCAGCUUUAAGUAUCCAUGCUUAUAUGUCUUUUAGCUUUAAAGUUAUUGUAUUCUUUGUUAUUUCUCUCUGAUAAUGCUUGAAUGGUAUGUUGCUAGCCUUUAUGUCAACAUACUCUGUUUUGUGGAAAUAAAAUUUGGAAUGAAAUGUUUCUCCUCCCUUUGUUUACCUUUAUAUCAAACAAUAGCCCCAUCUUACCUUGUGUCUAGGCCUAACCCCAAGUUUCAAUCCGGGGAUUAUUCUGCAAGUGGUUCUUACUUCAAUUAAGGAUUGCGGCUUAAAUUGAUUUUUUUGGGUCUUCUCAGCCAAAACUGGAGAUGCUACCAUCAUCCACUGUUCUGUCUCUCGCCGGUGCUGGCACCGUUCUGACGGUGAUUUUUUCCGGCGAAUUGGGUCAUCUCAAAGCCAAGUGUUCUCCCAGACCCAGAAAGGUUUUCAGCCGUUGGUGCAUAAAGGAGCUUUAUUUACAGCAACACUCCAUCAAUGGUUUCAAGUCCAAGAAGCAAAACUCACUUUCAAGCUUCGCAUUCGGUAAAAAAGCCGAAGACAGCUUUUUCUUGGAUGUAAAUGAAGACACAGAUGACAUGUAUGAAGAUUUAAUUAAUAAUUAUGGAAAAGUGGUAUUUAGUAGAAAAGAUAAAAAGCCUGCUAGCGCAGAGAUUGAUGAUGAUGCUGAAAGCCUGUCAUUUGCUAUGGAAUUGGCUUCGGUUGCAAGCGAGGUUAAGGCAGCAGAUAUAAAGGUCUUGUUUGUGAAGCCACUUGUUUACUGGACCCGAAUUUUUAUCAUAGCUACAGCAUUUUCCCGUCCGCAGAUUGAUGCUAUCGGGUCCAGGAUGAGAGAUCGAGCUGAGAAAAAAUAUGGAAAAAUUCCAACAGGAGAUACAAAGCCCAACUCAUGGACCCUGUUGGACUUCGUGAACAUGCUGUUGGCUCAACCCAUUUUCUUCUCUCCCAACUUUCCCACUCUCAUCAAGAAGACAAAUUUGAGAGCUUCACUUCAGCCCCACAACAAUUUUCCUCCUCUCAGAGUUUCACAAAUGCCAAAACCACUUGGUGUGAGAGCAAGACCCAAAACCCUGUUGGCUCCGCUUCAGAAAAAGAGUGGUGUCCAAAUUUGCCAUAGCUUCAAGAAAGAGAGCGAAGUUGGUGGGAAUGACGAAAGAGACUGGACAACCUCCUUUUUGCUCUUUCUCCUGUGGGCAGCACUCAUCUACUAUGUCUUCUUUCUCACCCCAAACCAGACCCCGUCAAGGGAUUUAUAUUUCCUGAAAAAGCUCCUGAAUCUGAAAGGGGAUGAUGGUUUCAGAAUGAAUGAAGUGUUAGUAUCAUUGUGGUAUAUAAUGGGCUUGUGGCCAUUGGUAUAUAGCAUGCUCUUGCUUCCUACAGGAAGAAGCUCAAAAAACAGUAUUCUUGUAUGGCCCUUCCUGAUACUUUCAUGUUUUGGAGGUGCAUAUGUACUUCUUCCUUAUUUUGUACUUUGGAAACCGCCAGCACCUCCUGUUGAAGAAACUCAGCUUAAAACAUGGCCCUUGAAUUUUCUGGAAUCAAAAGUAACUGCAUUGAUAUCACUUGUUGCAGGGGUAGCCAUCAUAAUUUAUGCUGGUUUAGCUGGACAAGAUGUGUGGAAAGAAUUUUACCAGUACUUUAGGGAAAGCAAAUUUAUUCAUAUUACCUCCAUUGAUUUUAUUGUACUUUCCACAUUUGCACCAUUCUGGGUAUACAACGACAUGACUGCACGAAAAUGGUUUGACAAAGGUUCUUGGCUUCUUCCCAUAUCAUUGAUACCAUAUUUAGGGCCUGGUUUGUACCUUCUCCUACGGCCAUCAUUAUCAGCAGUGUCCAUUUCGCAAACUCCUGUUGAACCAGAGUGAAAUUACAUGUGAUGACUGCCAAUAAUACAAGUGCACACUUUCUAUGCAACAAAAAUGGAUCUGGUUUCAAGUUUGGUUCAAGAAGGUUUGCUUAUGGUAAUUAGGAGAGAAUGAACACUAAUGGGAGUGGAUUAAGACAUGUCUACAUGGAAAGCAUAAAGCAUAAAACAUGUGUGAUGUGGAUGAGAGAGGAAAACAUAAAGCAUAACACAUAAAGCAACAUGAGCAUAUGGUCCUCCUUGUACCUUGGACGAAAUUCACACAAAGAGACCACCUAGUCUACUCCAUUUUUGUCAUCUUAUGUAUUAGGUUUAACCUAGUUUCUAGAGGCUAGAGUUUUGUAAUUGUUUAGCUACCCUUUUGCACUUUUGGUUUUUGUUUAGAGGCCCCUAGAACUUUCUAUUUAAGGGGUGCUCUUUGACAUGAAUGAUGGUUGAUCAAUUUGAGUAUUUUCUAUAUUGUUUCAACCACAUUUUCGUGAGCUUUUCCUCCAAGGAGUGGAGGUUCUCCUUUGCCUUGUCUUAAGUAAUCAAGUGACGACACAACAUCACUUAUCUCCAAGGGUUGGUUAGCCUUAUGGCCCCACUAUGAGUGGCAUGCUCCCUUGCUCCAUUACCAUCUUCUUAUGCUUCCAUAUUCUUCUUGUUUUCCUUCAUUUUAA
Molecule: unclassified non-coding RNA, 3378 nt
Organism: Vigna unguiculata (cowpea)
Lineage: Eukaryota; Viridiplantae; Streptophyta; Magnoliopsida; Fabales; Fabaceae
Source: RefSeq, a predicted model, not a curated record